GCUGGGCGUGGUGGCUCACGCCUGUAAUCCUAGCUAUUCGGGAGGCUGAGGCAGGAGAAUCGCUUGAACCUGGGAGGCAGAGGCUGCAGUGAGCUGAGAUCGUGCCACUGCACUCCAGCCUGGGCGACAGAGCGAGACUCUGUCUCAA
This 148-nucleotide non-coding RNA is filed under the name Pan paniscus (pygmy chimpanzee). RNAcentral also lists the same sequence under 1 other name. The record is from Rfam by way of RNAcentral. Lineage: Eukaryota; Metazoa; Chordata; Mammalia; Primates; Hominidae.